Non-coding RNA from Merluccius polli (Benguela hake), 73 nucleotides. The record is from the annotation of a GenBank genome assembly. NCBI's taxonomy places the organism in Eukaryota, Metazoa, Chordata, Actinopteri, Gadiformes, Merlucciidae.
GGUUGUGUCGCCGAGCGGUCCAAGGUGCUGGAUAUAGGCUUCUGAGGAGUGGGUUCAAAUCCCACCACUGCCA